This 332-nucleotide transfer-messenger RNA is filed under the name Sphingobacteriaceae. Its description in RNAcentral is "Mucilaginibacter sp001596135 Standard tmRNA". It matches the Rfam family "transfer-messenger RNA". From Rfam's summary of the family: Bacterial tmRNA, also known as 10Sa RNA or SsrA, is named for its dual tRNA and mRNA-like properties. Its role is to liberate the mRNA from a stalled ribosome. RNAcentral also lists the same sequence under 1 other name. The record is from RNAcentral. Lineage: Bacteria; Pseudomonadati; Bacteroidota; Sphingobacteriia; Sphingobacteriales.
GGGGGUGCCUGGAUUUGACAGGACAAUUUAAGUGUAACGCAACAGGUAGCAGGAUGGUGGUAUACUGCUUAAUAAUUUACAUCAAACAACAAAAGGCGAUAUAAUCGUACGCCAGAUUGAAGCUAAAGUAGUUUCAAUGGCAAAAAGCAGAGUAGGUUCAAGUGUCAGCUUAGCCGCUUAAACAGUUUAUCCGAACUUAAAACGGAUUGGUGGAUUGCCUGUAUUCGGACGGCCCUAAGUACUAAGCAACUAUGCUCCAAAUAGUAAACCUGUGUUAAUUGUUUUAUAACUGAUGUUACUGGACGAGGGUUCGACUCCCUCCACCUCCACAA